This is a long non-coding RNA of Pseudophryne corroboree (corroboree frog), 2474 nucleotides long. RefSeq lists it as uncharacterized. The transcript is spliced from 3 exons. The record is from RefSeq and is a predicted model, not a curated record. NCBI's taxonomy places the organism in Eukaryota, Metazoa, Chordata, Amphibia, Anura, Myobatrachidae.
AGGUUAAUGCCCAGAUCCCUCAACAGAGGCCCCAGAGUGGGAACACAGCCAAAAUUGUGCCAGAGGGCCACCAGACCUGGUGCAGCCCCAGUCCAGAGUCCCCCCACAGCACACAGGCACACUACCUCUUAUUAUCCAGCUCCUCCAGAGAAAUCCAAAAUGGCCACCGCAUCUCCUGGGCGCCUGUCUCUCUGCUGUCCCCCACUGCCAGAUGCCUCCUCUGCCUGCUGCCCACGGGGGGUGACCACUGGGGGUCUGGAGAAGUCAGCCGCUGGUGCCUGCGUCCUGGGGGAGGUCCGCGCCGAUUCCCGGAGCUCCAAUCGCGGGUGUGGAAAGUACGCGAGGCCCUGGCUUCUGGAGGUGCGUAGGCCGCAACCUGCGGGAACAGAGAGAACUGCUUCCCGGCUCUGCGGCAAACUCUACUGGGCACAGUAUCCCCAUGGCAACGUGUGUGCACUUCCUGUGUUUACCCUGCAGCGACCGCGCCGCCCGCCCACGGAAGGACGUCACUCCGGAGGGGCGGGGAGAUCCGAACCCGGAAGUGUAGUCGCCGUGAAGCGGGACGCCGCUGGCCACGGCGGGCCAGGGGAAGAAAAGAAUGUCAAGUGGUCAAUUAUUUUUCUUCAUGGAAGAGCCGAAAGUAAUUUGUGAACAAUGACAAGAUAAUAUCAAAGAGCUGAACCUACAAAAAGCACUGAAAAGUGGAUCGGUGGUAAAUUGCUGUAGGUCCGUUUUAACGAGCCCUCACUCUAGGAACUGUGCAAUAGCGCUGCGAAAGUUGGGGAAAGAUAACCAGAGACUAUUUUGACCUCACAUAAUUUCAAAUAACUUUUUAUUUGAGGGACAGACAACAACUGUGAACAACGAGGAAACAUAGUACGAUCCACACACAGAAGGGUUGUGAUGUCAUUCCUGUCAACCAUAACAAAGAGAGAAAAGUGCAUUUCAAGCAAACAUGACAAAAGUGAGCACAAUGCUUCUACAAGCUGUUGAUAUAUAGCCUAUUGGAAUGGUGGUCACAAUAGGGGCACAGCUGUGGAAAGUGACUGGCCACACACAGAAUUCUUAACUAUGCUGGGUUUAUUGAUAAACAGCAGCUACAGGAUAUGGGUGGUAUGCAAUUAGCUCCGAUCAUUUUGGAGCUAAUGAGUUCGCCUCACUGAAUAUUCAAUUAGGGCCAUUUUCGUCCAUUUUUAAGGCAAUUUCGCCAAAGCCUUUUCACCUUUUUUUUUUUUAAAGUGAAAAGGCAUUGGCGAUAAAUGCCUCAAAGUCGGUGAAAAUGGCCUACGUUUUCAACGGAAAACACAUGGAUUUGUCAAUCCACGUGUUUUCUGCCCCUGCCACAAAUUUCGCCUAGACGAAAAUCCGGCCCUCUGAUUGCAUAUGGCGAAUUUCCAUUCACCCUAAAAAUAGCAAAAUGCUCCGUUAUUUACGCCUAGCCAAUUGCAUACCCCCCCCCCCCCCCCCAUUUAGGUCCACAGUAGCAACAGAAGCGGAAUCAAACACAGGGUAAUAGCAGGCAGUGGCAUCACUAAGGGGUGACACCAAAAUGCUGGCUCCUGUCACAGUGUAGAAGUCGGCAGAGCAGCCAGACAGUCUACAGGAGCAGGCCAGCAUCUCCGGGAUGACAUGGGGGUUGUGCUACGAGGCCACGCUCCCUUGCCAUGAGGUUAUGCCCGUUUUUGUAAGUGGCAUUUACACUGCACAGGGUGCAUAGAGCAAAGUGAUGCCCUGGAUAGCAGGUAUCUGUGUGCCUCACCUCUAGGAGCUACUGUGACACUCUUACAAAGUAAAGAUGGCAGCAGUCUGUAUGUGUGCAGUAGCACAUCAGGUUGGAGGUCGCGCCUCCUUGCAGACUCUGGGUCCUAGUGCCAAAAAGUGUAUGCAGCAUAGGAGGGAGCACAGAGUGCUGCUCUCCCAAAUACAAGCGACUUAAUCAAACUUGAUCAAACAACUAAACCUGUAGGAAAAAUAUAAUAAAAAAAUAAAUAAAAUUGAUUUUAAAAUAAAUGUUUUGGGCCCUUUAUCUAAUUUAGAAGGUAAACUAAUAGUGUUCUGUUCACCUUUUUUAUUAGUUGUGUUGAUCAGUUUAAAAAAAACAACAACCCAAAGAGAGAAAUAGCAAUAACCAAUUAUCCACUUCAGAAUUAAGCAAUACAGCUCCACUGUCUGCAUCCUUGUCAUAGUAUAGUUCUAUAAUACAUUUACUACCUCUGAUACUGAUGUUUCCAAAAGCCCGACCAACCCAUUCCCAAAGAACACAUUCAUUCCAACCCAAAAACUAUCUAACACACCCAUACAUUUGCCCGUCAAAUAUCACAAACUGUGACAAUUGUAAUUUUUUGUUUCUUAAAUAAAAUAAAAAUCACACAAAUUCACCACUCUCCUAAUAACACUUCAAACUGUAAUUCAUCUGACCUCAGGAAAUGUUAAUUCCAAAAAAUUGCAAUAGUUUGUUAAGCUGACCCUUUAUG